GCAAGUCGAGCGCUUCACUUCGGUGCGGAGCGGCGGACGGGUUAGUAACGCGUGGGAACAUACCCUUUUCUACGGAAUAGCCUCGGGAAACUGAGAGUAAUACCGUAUACGCCCUUCGGGGGAAAGAUUUAUCGGUGAAGGAUUGGCCCGCGUUAGAUUAGAUAGUUGGUGGGGUAAUGGCCUACCAAGUCUACGAUCUAUAGCUGGUUUUAGAGGAUGAUC
Molecule: ribosomal RNA, 222 nt
Filed under: uncultured bacterium
Lineage: Bacteria
Description: partial 16S ribosomal RNA
Rfam family: Bacterial small subunit ribosomal RNA
Source: RNAcentral